UACGAAGGGGGCUAGCGUUGCUCGGAAUUACUGGGCGUAAAGGGCGCGUAGGCGGAUAGUUUAGUCAGAGGUGAAAGCCCAGGGCUCAACCUUGGAAUUGCCUUUGAUACUGGCUAUCUUGAGUUCGGGAGAGGUGAGUGGAAUGCCGAGUGUAGAGGUGAAAUUCGUAGAUAUUCGGCGGAACACCAGUGGCGAAGGCGACUCACUGGCCCGAUACUGACGCUGAGGUGCGAAAGCGUGGGGAGCAAACAGG
RNAcentral lists this ribosomal RNA (253 nucleotides) under uncultured bacterium. Its description in RNAcentral is "partial 16S ribosomal RNA". It matches the Rfam family "Bacterial small subunit ribosomal RNA", at positions 524 to 776 of the family's 1533-position model. The record is from RNAcentral.